UACGUAGGGGGCGAGCGUUGUCCGGAAUUACUGGGCGUAAAGGGCGCGUAGGCGGCCCGUUAAGUCCGCUGUGAAAGACCGAGGCUCAACCUCGGGGUGUCAGCGGAGACUGUCGGGCUGGAGUCUCGGAGAGAGAUGCGGAAUUCCUGGUGUAGCGGUGGAAUGCGUAGAGAUCAGGAGGAACACCGAUGGCGAAGGCAGCAUCCUGGCCGAGUACUGACGCUGAGGCGCGAAAGCGUGGGGAGCGAACGGG
Molecule: ribosomal RNA, 253 nt
Filed under: uncultured bacterium
Lineage: Bacteria
Description: partial 16S ribosomal RNA
Rfam family: Bacterial small subunit ribosomal RNA
Source: RNAcentral